This 538-nucleotide transfer RNA is filed under the name uncultured cyanobacterium. RNAcentral's name for it is "partial contains 16S ribosomal RNA, 16S-23S ribosomal RNA intergenic spacer, and 23S ribosomal RNA". The stretch from base 210 to 282 matches the Rfam family "tRNA". The record is from RNAcentral. Lineage: Bacteria; Bacillati; Cyanobacteriota.
CAGGGAGACAACAAAAUGUUUAAUAUUAUUAUUUUGUCACCUUAGGUCGAUCGGUAUCUCACGUUCUUAUUAUUAAGAAUUUCAUUUCCUAAGUUUUUUCUAGGUCACACCCAUUUUUUUCCUGGGCCAUUAGCUCAGGUGGUUAGAGCGCACCCCUGAUAAGGGUGAGGUCCCUGGUUCAAGUCCAGGAUGGCCCAUAUCUCUAUGUUGGGGGUAUAGCUCAGUUGGUAGAGCGCCUGCUUUGCAAGCAGGAUGUCAGCGGUUCGAGUCCGCUUACCUCCACUGAUUACCACCUCUUACAUAAAUUGUAGAAAGGAAAUUUUUUGAGUUGUGAUCAAAUUCUGAACGAAUCUAGCUUCCUAAUGAAAUCAUUAAGAUGCUGGACUCAUUGAAUUAAUUUCAUUGUUUUCAGAGAACCUUGACAACUGCAUAGAUUAUUUUUAAAGACAAUAAGCAUCUUUAAUGAUGCAGAUUUAUUAUUUGUGCAAAUGCAUUAAUAACAAUUCUAUUAAGCUGAUGCUUCAAUUAUGAAGUUAUU